This 274-nucleotide ribosomal RNA is filed under the name Clostridioides difficile. RNAcentral describes it as "partial 23S ribosomal RNA". It matches the Rfam family "Bacterial large subunit ribosomal RNA", at positions 1 to 274 of the family's 2925-position model. The record is from RNAcentral. Lineage: Bacteria; Bacillati; Bacillota; Clostridia; Peptostreptococcales; Peptostreptococcaceae.
UGGUCAAGUUAUUAAGGGUGCAGGGCGGAUGCCUUGGCACUAGGAGCCGAUGAAGGACGUGAUAAGCUGCGAUAAGCUUCGGGGAGUUGCACGUAAACUUUGAUCCGAAGAUUUCCGAAUGAGGAAACUCACUUAGAGUAAUGUCUAAGUAUCAUUAAGUGAAUACAUAGCUUAAUGAGGGGAACUCAGGGAACUGAAACAUCUAAGUACCUGAAGGAAGAGAAAGAAAUUCGAUUCCGUAAGUAGCGGCGAGCGAACGCGGAUUAGCCCAAAC